Non-coding RNA from Macaca mulatta (Rhesus monkey), 6138 nucleotides. Lineage: Eukaryota; Metazoa; Chordata; Mammalia; Primates; Cercopithecidae. The record is from RefSeq and is a predicted model, not a curated record.
AAGUCCCUCCCAUGACAUGUGAGGAUUAUGGGAACUACAAUUCAAGAUGAGAUUUGGGUGGGGACACAGCCAAACCAUAUCAACCAUAUUCUGCCUAAAUUAGACGUCUAUCUCUAAUCACAGCUUAAUUAUUCAAGUACCCACAGAUUCUUCUUUUAAUUGGUGAUUUUCUAAUACCAUUGCAGGACCUUCUGAUUGAUAGUUUGUGCACAAGUUUUCAAAAAGAAGUUAGUGUCUCUUUUUAAGAGAAAUUCGUCAACUACAGUGACAUUAGAACCAGUGAUUAAAAAUUACUGAAGUCACAUCUGUGGAUGUCUAUGCCUGUCUACUUUUUGUUUAUAGAACUCAUGACUAUUUAAAUGAAAACAGUCACCUCAGUCCUCACUAAAAACAAUGAUUAUUAAAAAUAUAAAAUUUAAGGUGGCUACAGAAUGAGGCAAUAAAUACCAGAGAAAUGGAGUCAUGAGUAAAAGUAUUAAUGUUCUUAAGGCUUCUUUUUGAUUAAAGUCUAAACAUUGUUUUUCAAUUCAGACUUAACAGGGAGGAUGCUGCAAAUGAAGGGAGCAUUUUUUUCUAUAAAGGCCCACACAGUGUCUUAUGGUAUCUUAGUACAUUUGGGCUGCUGUACAGUAACAGAAUACUAUAAAUUAGGUAGCUUCUAAAAAACAGAAACUUUUUUCUCAUGGUUCUGGAGACUGGGAAGUCCAAGAUCAAGGCAUCAGCAGAUUCAGUGUUUGAGGGGAGGACCUGCCUCCAGUUCAGAGACAGCCAUCCUUUCGCUGUAUCUUCACAUGGCAGAAAGGAUAAGUAAGCUCUCUGGGACCUCUGUUUUAGGGGCACUAAUCCCAUUGACGAGGGCCCCACCUUCAUUAUCUAAUCACCUCCCAAGAGCCCCAUCUCCUAAAACCAUUACAUUUGGGGGUUAGGUUUUGACCUAUGAAUUUUGAGGAGACACAUUCAGUUGAUGGCAGAGGGAGAUACUUGGUCUUAGAUACUUAGAUUUUUAACUCUGAAUUCUUGGGUACCUUUUAGAAAUAAGGACUGAUUUAGACUAGAGUCGUUGGGCCCAGCGCAACUCGAAGUAGCGGAGAGAGCGCGAGACUAGAGCGCAGAGCUCGGGACGUGCAUCCCAGCUGGCGCGAUGGGCGGAUGCAGGAGGAGGAGCAGUUCGAGGGCAUGUUGCUGGCCAUGGCUCAGCAGCACGAGGGCGGCGUGCAGGAGCUUGUGAACACCUUCUUCAGCUUCCUUCGACGCAAAACAGACUUUUUCAUUGGAGGAGAAGAGGGGAUGGCAGAGAAGCUUAUCAUACAGAUUUUCAGCAACAACAAUCAGCUGGCACAGAAGGCCCAGUGGGAGAAGAGAGCCCGGCAUGAGGCUGAGCGGCGGGGGAAGGUGGAGCGGGUGGCCAGGGUGGCCAAGGAAGCCAAGUCAGAGGCCUCAGGGCCCCAGAUCAAGGAGCUAACUGAUGAAGAGGCAGAGAAGCUGCAGCUAGAGACUGACCAGAAAAAGGAUACAGAGAAUCAUGAGGCCCAGCUCAAGAACGGCAACCUUAACUCCCCAGGGAAGCAGGAGACUGAGAAAGACGAAGAGGAGGAAGAUGAGAAGGACAAAGGAAAACUGAAGCCCAGCCUAGGCAACGGGGCAGACCUGCCCAAUUACCGCUGGACCCAGACCCUGUCGGAGCUGGACCUGGCGGUCCCUUUCCAUGUGAACUUCCGGCGAAAGGGAAGGACGUGGUGGUGGACAUCCAGUGGUGGCACCUCCGGGUGGGGCUCAAGGGGCAGCCAGUGAUCAUCGAUGGGGAGCUCUACAACGAAGUGAAGGUGGAGGAGAGCUCAUGGCUCAUUGAGGAUGGCAAGGUGGUGACUCUGCAUCUUGAGAAUAUCAAUAAGAUGGAGUGGUGGAGCCGUUUGGUGUCCAGUGACCUUGAGAUCAAUACCAAGAAUAUUAACCCUGAGAAUUCCAAGCUCUCAGACCUGGACAGUGAGACUCGUAGCAUGGUGGAAAGGAUGAUGAUGUAUGACCAGAGACAGAAGUCCAUGGGGUUGUCAACCUCAGACGAACAGAAGAAACAGGAGAUUCUGAAGAAGUUCAUGGAUCAGCAUCUGGAGAUGGAUUUUUCCAAGGCCAAAUUCAACUGGCCCCUGUUUUUACCUCCUUGAACUCUUGGGGCUGAGCUGCAACCAUCCAACUUUUUUUCCCACUCUUCUCUGGCCCUUGUGGGCCUCAGGGAUUGGGGCAGGCAUGGGACUGGCCCAGCACACAGGUCCCAGGGCAUCAGGAGAAAGGCUGGGGUUUGGGGUCUUGUCUUCCCCAGUUGGCCUACUGUUACACAUUAAAGCGAUUUGCUUAGCAAAAAAAGAAAUAAGGACUGAUUUAUUUCCUCAUUUGUGAUGCCAAAUUGUAAAGAUUAAGGUAAUUGUUCUGUUAAGGUAUGAAAAUACGCCACUUCUAAGAGACAGAGGCAGAUAGGAUAUUGGCAACCUUCACACCCUAGUUUGAAAGGUACUGGCCUUUCUUGGCUGUGCUGAGGCAUGAAUAAAUACCUCACUAUUGUGGUUACAAUAGUAACCAUACCUUUGUUGUGUUUUAUUUCUUCAAUUACCAUCUGUUGUUGCAGCCUUUAGCUAAAGCGCGGCUUUGCAAACUUCCACCUUAAGUCAUAGCACUGUGUCUUGGUGAAUUGAUUAUAGAGGUGGAAGUUAGUAUCUUAAAUUUGAUUCAGUCACAUAUGCCUUUUGGGUGACUUCACUUUGGAUCCUCAAAGGAUGACUUAGAGAAUGCCAAAUAAACACCCUGGCAACUGGUAAUGACCUUCUGGGAGAUUCUGACAGAUUGAGGUUUCACAACAAACACAGAUAAAAGACAGUUUUUCAGAAAACAGUGGCGAAGGAACUGAAUAAGUAAAGCAUAACUGAAGGCAGUAGAGGUAGUUGAGUGGAAAUGCAUAGAGCUGGGAGGAGUGGAUGGAGAAAGGAAAGGCAGCUUGCAGGAGGGCAUGUGAUAGGAGUAGAGCUGUGUGCCAGGGGUGGCAAGUUGACUCUCUUGGAUGGUACCAAGAAUUUGUCUUAUUGUAGUUAGACAGAGUUAGUUUUUGUUCUGAAUGAGACACUGAGUUUCCCUUAUUUCCUGAUAGGGGUUUUGAAUAUACUGACUUGAAGCAAGAACAGUUAUUGGAACUAUGGUAUCAGAUUUCCUGAAGGUAACAUUAUUCAUUAAAUAAUAAUGUUGCUCUUUGAGCCCUUAAAAUUGGCCUUUUUCUAGACUCCUAAACUCUUUAUGUUCUUAAUGAAAUAACGCUGGCUAGGGCCCUUACCAAACUCUGACCAGAAACAGUGAAUUAGAAGAUACAGAAGACUGGGAGCUAGAAAUUGAUUUUUUUUUUCAAACCCAUAUUGUCUCGAAAACAUCGACCUUAGGAUCUAUUCGCAUCCUUAACCCUGCCAACCCCUUGAUUCAUUCGCAAGAUUGCCACCCUCCUUGCUCUUUACAAUAGUUCAUUCUUUAAUUUCAAAUUUUGGUGCUAUUUUCAUAUUGUUUAAAUGAGGUUCACCUACCCAACAUGGUAGCUAUUUGCCUAAUAUCUUCGUUGUACCUAAACAUUGUGGAAAGUGGUUUCUUUUAUAAAUUUAAAAUGUUUAGCUUUUCAAACCCCUGUUUUCUCAUCUUCCUUUGUCAGAGUUCUGUUUGAGGUGAGCAAAGCCACUUGGAUCCUGAUUUAGUGGAUGAUUUUGGUGACAUUAAGACUUUGAGAUUGACUUUUCUCUCUCCCCACUCACCACAGUGGGAAUGCAUUUUUCAUCUUUUCUGUGGGGUGAUUUGGAGAAUGACUGAGAUGGUUAUUCCUUUUUUCCUCCUGUUUCAGUCUGUUUUGUGCUGCAGUGACAGAAUACUUGAGACUGGGUAAUUUAUAAGGAACAGAAUUUUAUUUCUCACUGUUCUGGAGGUGAGUGGGACGUCCACGAUCGAGGUGCCAGCAUUUGGUCUGGUGAGGGCCCUCUUGCCGCAUCCUUAUCUGGCAGAAGGCAUAAGGGCAAGUCGUCCAAAUGUGGAGUGAAGCCUCUUUUAUAAGAGCCCUAAUCCCAUUGAGAGGGAGAAGCCAUCAUGGCUUAAUCACCUUUAAAGGCUCCACUUGUAAAUACCAUCACUUUGGCAGCACCUACAUUUUGGAAGGGACACGUUCAAACCAUAAUACCCCCUCUCACCUAUUGCCUGCCCUCCUUUUGGGAGUGGGCAGCGGUGCUGACUGAAAGAUGCAUCCUCCAGGCUUCCUUGCCCUCUGGCUUCUAACUGGAUUGGCCAAGGGGGAACUUGAGGAGAACUAAGAGUGGGAGGGGAGAGAGCUGCCAGUUGCCACAUCUCUGCUCUCUGCUGCAGUUUUGUCAGUGGUGUGUCCCACCAAGAAACCACUCUUGCCUGGUGGGUCCUCUUUCAGGCCUCCAGCAGGUUACUUUCCUCUCCUUGAUGCUUCAAGUCACUUUCUACCUGGAUGCCCCUGUGGUACUCUUCACCCUUCCCUCAUCUUUGUAAAUAGACCUUCGAUCAGAUGUCUUCAUUGGAACUAUGUGAGUUGCCUCUAUGUAGUACAUGUAAGACACUGUUGAUUAAAAGUACAGGUAAGACACUGUGGUGUCAACACUUUCACAUGAGGAAACACAUAGCGCAUUAAAUGUGUGUGAUUAUAAGAUACGUCUUAAUUUCAGAUACGUUAAUACUUAGAAACAACACCCGUGACUCUCAAAACAGAGGGAAACCUAUGAAAUUGCUACUGGUUUUUCAUUGUAUUAAAGAUACCAUAAUAAAGAUCUUUGUUUAUAAACUUGCCUAUAUUUGAGAUUAUGUCCAUAGGAUAGGUGAGAAGAGAGUUAUAGACAUUUUCUAAGACUCGUUUCUUUUUGCCGCAUUGCAUUGUAAAAGGGUCAGACGUAUUUAGAGUGCCACCUGCAGCUUCUUAGCUCUUGUUUGACUGUCCAAUGUGUGUUGACUUUUCCACAGAUCUUUCCUAAUCUGCUAGGCCAAAGAGAGUCUUUCCAUUUGGCGGUGAAAGUGAACAUUUUCUAUUUUUUCUUGUAUUUUUCUUUUUCUUUAAAAAAAUCUCUUUUGCCUAUUUAUUUAUUGGGUCUUACUGUUUUUCAUAUGCAUGAGCUCUUUGUGUGAUAGGUCAGGGGUUAGCUAACUUUUUCUAUAAAGGACCAGCUAAUAGACAUUUCAGGCUUUGUGAGCCACACAGCUUCUGUAGGGUGAAAGCAGCCUUAGACAAUAGGCAACUAAUGAGGAUGGCUGUGCUCCCAUGUGGACACUGAGAUGUAAAUAUUAUAUAGUUUUUAUAUGCCCUGGAGUAUCAUUCCUCUUUAUUUUCUUCAACCAUUUAAAAAUGUAAAAACCAUUCUUAGCUCACGGGCUGUAGAAGAACAGGCGGUGGGCUGGAUUUGAUUAGUGGGCCAUAGUUUGCUGACCCUUGUAAUAGAUGAUAACUCAUUUAAUCUGUUUUGACUAUUUUCCUCACUUCCUUUUUUAGAUAAAUUUUUUAGGCCUACAGAAGUUUAAAUUUCUUACAACUUCAAAUUUUAAAUUUCUGGCCAUUUUUGUCAUGAUUCUGAAAGUUAGAAUGUUCUUACUAACGAUCAUAUCCAAAAAUACACGACUUAAUUUUAGCUUUAGAGACAUGUUUUUUAAAGAAUUCGCCUUUAUUCAUGUGGACUUUAUUUGUGUAUAGUGUGAUUUGGAAGUCUAAAUUUAAUUUUUUUGCAAGCAGCAAACCAAUUGUGGGUUGUUUUUGAAUCCUCCUGGUUAGUACCGGGUUCAUUAACUGUGCUUUGGGUACCUUUGAUCCUAGAUUUACAGCAUGAUAAUUUUCCAAGUUUUCAUUUAUGUUCAAGAAGUAUGGUACCAACCUGUGACAUGAGUUCCUCUUAGUUCUUCUUGGCUCAUCUGUUUCCAUGUGAGCUGGCAUUCACAGGAAAUUCAGAACUCUUAUAGGCAUAAUAUUAAUAGAUACAUGUGGAAAGAGUUGUUCUCUGAAAAAAAGUUUGAGUUUUUUUUUUUGAGACAGAGUCUUGCUAUGUCACCCAGGCUGGAGUGCAAUGGCCUGAUCUCGGCUCACUGCAAGGUCCACCUCCUGGGUUCACACCAUUCUCC